GACGAACGCUGGCGGCGUGCCUAAUACAUGCAAGUGGGACGCAAGGAAACACACUGUGCUUGCACACCGUGUUUUCUUGAGUCGCGAACGGGUGAGUAACGCGUAGGUAACCUGCCUAUUAGCGGGGGAUAACUAUUGGAAACGAUAGCUAAUACCGCAUAAUAUUAAUUAUUGCAUGAUAAUUGAUUGAAAGAUGCAAGCGCAUCACUAGUAGAUGGACCUGCGUUGUAUUAGCUAGUUGGUAAGGUAAGAGCUUACCAAGGCGACGAUACAUAGCCGACCUGAGAGGGUGAUCGGCCACACUGGGACUGAGACACGGCCCAGACUCCUACGGGAGGCAGCAGUAGGGAAUCUUCGGCAAUGGACGAAAGUCUGACCGAGCAACGCCGCGUGAGUGAAGAAGGUUUUCGGAUCGUAAAGCUCUGUUGUAAGUCAAGAACGUGUGUGAGAGUGGAAAGUUACACAGUGACGGUAGCUACCAGAAAG
Molecule: ribosomal RNA, 486 nt
Filed under: Streptococcus mutans
Lineage: Bacteria; Bacillati; Bacillota; Bacilli; Lactobacillales; Streptococcaceae
Description: bacterial SSU rRNA
Rfam family: Bacterial small subunit ribosomal RNA
Source: RNAcentral